Molecule: long non-coding RNA, 1250 nt
Filed under: Erythranthe guttata (spotted monkey flower)
Lineage: Eukaryota; Viridiplantae; Streptophyta; Magnoliopsida; Lamiales; Phrymaceae
Description: long non-coding RNA (EGUT_LNC002685)
Source: RNAcentral
ACAACUUUGUCGGAAGUUAUAAACGGUCAAGAUUUAAAGCUGGCCAUACCAUACACUUACAAUGAUACAUAUAUGUUAUUGUUUUUUUUUUUCCAUCAUUUUCUUCUACAUCGAUCUCGAAAUUGUUAACAAAGGGAUCCAAAUUCGGAUCAUUUGACACCAUAUAUUUUGUUGCUCCACGCCAACUAAGCAAUCUCUUUCUGAUCAAUACAUCUCUGUUGUUGCAAUUACUGAUGAAAUUGAAAUUGCAGGCUAUUUUUUAUGAACUGGAAUUUGGGUCCAAUGCAUGCACCUGGAUCUCGGGUCAUUAUUUUGGACCCGCCACCGGUAGGGUGCAAUGUGUUUUAUUUGGUUCCCUCUUAUGGACAAGUGCCACUAAUAAAUUGGCGUAUGUUUCUUAUUUUCAUUUUAAAUCUAGGCUUAAUUCCACUUUACACCCUUGAAAUGUAGUAUUUUUGCCGUUUGCAUCCUUGAAAAAUAUUUAUAGCACUUUGCAACAUUGAAAAUAGGGUUAAUAAGAUAUAACCCCCUCAUUAGAAAAAAUAUUAGGACUAACCACCUUACAAUAUUUUUAAUGGGUCAAACCCCCUCAGAAAUGUCAAUUACUGUACUACCCCUAUAAUUUGUAAUAGCGAAGACCCCCCCCACCGUUUUCCCCAAAUACAGCAUAUCUUCAACCAUAUUCUUCAAUAUAAUUUCUCCCCCAUUUCCAUUGGUCUGCUAUAUUUAUGCCGAUAAAUUCUCCCAAAAAACAAACUGCAAUAUAUAUCGGAUAUUUUCCCCUUUCAAACAUUGCCCUAGUUUGCUACAUCUUCAGCGAAAAAUAAAAAUCAGAAUACCAUUAUAUUGUGCAAUUCGUUCAGCAACACAGUUGACAAAAAUGGUGAAGAACGGCAAGAAGAAGACAGGUAGUUUGCUAUAUACCCAUCUCUACCACAUAAUUUCUGUUUUUGACACCUUCUUCAGCGACUCCGAAGGACAAAAUCGAGGUCUCCUACAGAAACGGUAUAUAGCGGUACGCGACGACCAUAUGCGACGGUUCGGAUGUCUUCCAUGGUUGAUUACUCAAAAAUGGAGUUUGUAAACACGAUUGUUUUUUAAAUCUACAGAUCUAUGGUCGCACUAUUUGUUGACUCAUAAAAUAUUUGUUUUCCUAUGAAAUUUGUUUUAUCAGAGUCCAAAACAAAGAAAAGAUCAGUAUAAAAAUCGGUAGUUCACUAUAUUUUUCCCGAAGUCAACUAUAAAAUCGG